GGAGCCGUAGCGAAAGCGAGUUUUAACUGAGCGUUCAGUUACUUGACGUAGACCCGAAACCGGGCGACCUACCCAUGAGCAGGAUGAAGCGAAAGUAAAAUUUCGUGGAGGUCCGAACCCACGAGCGUUGAAAAGCUCGGGGAUGACUUGUGGGUAGCGGUGAAAUUCCAAUCGAGCCCGGAGAUAGCUGGUUCUCCCCGAAAUAGCUUUAGGGCUAGCCUCAAGGUGAGAGAUACGGAGGUAGAGCACUGAAUGUCCUAGGGGGUAUUGCACCUACCGAAGACUAUCAAACUCCGAAUGCCGUCAUCUUAUACUUGGGAGUCAGACUGUGGGUGAUAAGAUUCAUAGUCGAAAGGGCAACAGCCCAGAUCGUCAGCUAAGGUCCCUAAAUGUAAGUUAAGUGGUAAAGGAUGUGGGAUUGCACAGACAACCAGGAUGUUGGCUUAGAAGCAGCCACUCAUUCAAAGAGUGCGUAAUAGCUCACUGGUCAAGUGAUCCUGCGCCGAAGAUUUCCGGGGCUAAAACUUACUACCGAAGCUACGGCAUCAGUAAUGAUGGGUAGGGGAGCUUCCCAUACGGGUUGAAGCAUGACCGUAAGGACAUGUGGACAGUAUGGGAGGGAGAAUGUUGGCAUGAGUAGCGAGAUGUGGGUGGGAAUCCCACAGGCCGUAAACCCAAGGUUUCCAGGGGAAGGUUCGUCCGCCCUGGGUUAGUCGGGACCUAAGCUGAGGCCGAAAGGCGUAGGUGAUGGACAACAGGUUGAUAUUCCUGUACUACCGAUAACCGUUUGAGAGAAGGGAUGACACAGUAGGAUAAGCUAAGCACACUGUUGGUUAUGUGUGCCCAAGCAUUGAGGCAGUCAAAGUAGGCAAAUCCGCUUUGAUAAUGCUGGGAUGUGAUGGGGAGCGAAAUUUAGUAGCGAAGUAGCUGAUUUCACACUGUCAAGAAAAGUCUCUAUCGAGGUUAAAGGUACCCGUACCGCAAACCGACACAGGUG
Molecule: ribosomal RNA, 997 nt
Filed under: Clostridioides difficile
Lineage: Bacteria; Bacillati; Bacillota; Clostridia; Peptostreptococcales; Peptostreptococcaceae
Description: bacterial LSU rRNA
Rfam family: Bacterial large subunit ribosomal RNA
Source: RNAcentral